GUUGUCGUGUACUAACUAAAUAUGUAAACUUGUAUUCAAACUAGUCACGAUUCUAUGGUUCGAGCUCGGUUCGCGUAAACUAUCUAAACUAGCGUAUAUAUAUGAAAGUUCAACGCGUUGUUAAACUUUACCGGCGUUGACUUGUCGACCCGAAACCCACACUUGAAUCUGACCGAGUUGCACCAUAUCAAGAUACGAGCCACAAAUCUGAACCCGAACAAUUCCGUUGACUACUGUUGACUGGCUUGACUGUGUUGACUCGAGUUGACUCGGGUUUGAC
RNAcentral lists this long non-coding RNA (280 nucleotides) under Helianthus annuus (common sunflower). RNAcentral's name for it is "sRNA HanXRQr2_Chr07g0287471". The record is from RNAcentral. Lineage: Eukaryota; Viridiplantae; Streptophyta; Magnoliopsida; Asterales; Asteraceae.